CCAUGGCUCAGGACGAACGCUGGCGGCGUGCCUAAUACAUGCAAGUCGAGCGAACAGAAGGGAGCUUGCUCCCGGAUGUUAGCGGCGGACGGGUGAGUAACACGUGGGUAACCUGCCUGUAAGACUGGGAUAACUCCGGGAAACCGGAGCUAAUACCGGAUAGUUCCUUGAACCGCAUGGUUCAAGGAUGAAAGACGGUUUCGGCUGUCACUUACAGAUGGACCCGCGGCGCAUUAGCUAGUUGGUGGGGUAAUGGCUCACCAAGGCGACGAUGCGUAGCCGACCUGAGAGGGUGAUCGGCCACACUGGGACUGAGACACGGCCCAGACUCCUACGGGAGGCAGCAGUAGGGAAUCUUCCGCAAUGGACGAAAGUCUGACGGAGCAACGCCGCGUGAGUGAUGAAGGUUUUCGGAUCGUAAAGCUCUGUUGUUAGGGAAGAACAAGUGCGAGAGUAACUGCUCGCACCUUGACGGUACCUAACC
Molecule: ribosomal RNA, 484 nt
Filed under: Bacillus safensis
Lineage: Bacteria; Bacillati; Bacillota; Bacilli; Caryophanales; Bacillaceae
Description: bacterial SSU rRNA
Rfam family: Bacterial small subunit ribosomal RNA
Source: RNAcentral